AGGAUGGUAAUGGUGGUGAAGAAGAAGAAGGGGGAGUGCGCAUUUUAGCUGGAGAAGCGCAGGAUAAGAGAAACAGAAUGUGCAGAAGGUGUGGAGAGAGGGAAUCAUGUGUGUUACUGUUACCGUGCAGACACUUGUGUUUAUGCACAGUAUGUGGGUCAAGUUUACAGGAUGUUUGCCCAGUAUGUAAUUCAAAUAUGAAUGCAACAGUUCACGUCAACAUGACUUCUUGAUACAUCCAUCCAAAUGUUCAAAUAUGAACAUAACAGAAAAAUAGAGUUUUUUGUUGAUUUACAAGUUUCAGAUUUAGGGUUCUG
This 317-nucleotide unclassified non-coding RNA is filed under the name Hevea brasiliensis (rubber tree). Lineage: Eukaryota; Viridiplantae; Streptophyta; Magnoliopsida; Malpighiales; Euphorbiaceae. The record is from RNAcentral.